CGCGGGAUGGAGCAGUCUGGUAGCUCGUCGGGCUCAUAACCCGAAGGUCGCAGGUUCAAAUCCUGCUCCCGCUA
RNAcentral lists this transfer RNA (74 nucleotides) under Gammaproteobacteria bacterium. RNAcentral describes it as "tRNA-Met". It matches the Rfam family "tRNA". Rfam says of the family: Transfer RNA (tRNA) molecules are approximately 80 nucleotides in length. Lineage: Bacteria; Pseudomonadati; Pseudomonadota; Gammaproteobacteria. RNAcentral also lists the same sequence under 1 other name. The record is from RNAcentral.